GUAGGUGAACCUGCGGAAGGAUCAUUAACAAAUAACAAACUCGUGUUGCCCUCGCCCAACUUUACUGGUGGUGGCGAGGGACGUUCACACUACACAUCUUGAUGGACAACAUUGAUAUGACGGAGUGCCUAUUGGUUGGGGUGUGGGUAGUAGUGUAUACAACAUACUCUACACACACUAUAUCCAUAAGAUGCCGCUGUCAACACCAUUAUUUACUCUAAUGGAAACAACUUUUAACAAUGGAUCUCUU
Molecule: unclassified non-coding RNA, 250 nt
Filed under: plant metagenome
Description: partial contains small subunit ribosomal RNA, internal transcribed spacer 1, and 5.8S ribosomal RNA
Source: RNAcentral